Molecule: transfer RNA, 66 nt
Filed under: Burkholderia aenigmatica
Lineage: Bacteria; Pseudomonadati; Pseudomonadota; Betaproteobacteria; Burkholderiales; Burkholderiaceae
Description: tRNA-Cys
Source: RNAcentral
GUCGCGCUAGCGCGAGUGACUGGCGGUUUGCAGGACCGCCGGGGGCGUUCGAUCUGCUGCGCGACG